ACUCCUACGGGAGGCAGCAGUGGGGAAUAUUGGACAAUGGGGGAAACCCUGAUCCAGCAAUGCCGCGUGUGUGAAGAAGGCCUGAGGGUUGUAAAGCACUUUCAACUGUGAGGAUUGGGAUUUUGGUUAAUACCCGAGAUCCUUGACGUUAGCAGUAGAAGAAGCACCGGCUAACUCCGUGCCAGCAGCCGCGGUAAUACGGAGGGUGCGAGCGUUAAUCGGAAUUACUGGGCGUAAAGCGCGUGUAGGUGGCUUGUUAAGCCAGAUGUGAAAGCCCCGGGCUCAACCUGGGAACUGCAUUUGGAACUGGCAGGCUAGAGUUUUGUAGAGGGUGGUAGAAUUUCAGGUGUAGCGGGUGAAAUGCNUAGAGAUCUGAAGGAACACCGGUGGCGAAGGCGACCACCUGGCCAAUAACUGACACUCGAGACGCGAAGGCGUGGGUAGCAAACGGGAUUAGAUACCCUGGUAGCUCG
RNAcentral lists this ribosomal RNA (473 nucleotides) under uncultured bacterium. RNAcentral's name for it is "bacterial SSU rRNA". It matches the Rfam family "Bacterial small subunit ribosomal RNA", at positions 335 to 797 of the family's 1533-position model. The record is from RNAcentral.